Molecule: small nuclear RNA, 103 nt
Organism: Molossus molossus (Pallas's mastiff bat)
Lineage: Eukaryota; Metazoa; Chordata; Mammalia; Chiroptera; Molossidae
Source: RefSeq, a predicted model, not a curated record
GUGCUCGCUUCAGCAGCACAUAUACUAAAAUUGGAACGAUACAGAGAGGAUUAGCAUGGCCCCUGCGCAAGAUACUGAGCAGUGUCAGGAUCAUACGAGGUCU